GCCCAGGUGGCGGAAUUGGUAGACGCGCUAGAUUCAGGGUCUAGUACUGGCAACAGUGUGGAGGUUCGAGUCCUCUCCUGGGCA
Molecule: transfer RNA, 84 nt
Filed under: Archangium sp.
Lineage: Bacteria; Pseudomonadati; Myxococcota; Myxococcia; Myxococcales; Archangiaceae
Also listed under: 3 other names
Description: tRNA-Leu
Rfam family: tRNA
About the family: Transfer RNA (tRNA) molecules are approximately 80 nucleotides in length. Their secondary structure includes four short double-helical elements and three loops (D, anti-codon, and T loops).
Source: RNAcentral